UUCUUUAAGAAUUAAUUUAAAGUAUAUCCUGCUCAAUGAAUAUUUAAAUAGCCGCAGUUAACCUGUGCUAAGGUAGCAUAAUCAUUUGCUUUCUAAAUAAAAGAUAGAAUGAAGGGUUAUAUGAUUAAUAACUUUUUUCUAAAAAAUAAAUAAUUUAAAAUUAAUGUAAAAAAUCAUUAAUAAUUAAGCAAGACGAUAAGACCCUGCUAAACUUACUAUUUAGUUGGGGUGACAAUAUAACAAAAUCUUAUAAAAUAAAAUAAUUCAACCUUAAAUAAUUAAGAUUUAAAUCAGUUACUACAGGGAUAACAGCGCAAUAUUUUUUUAGAGCUCAUAUCCAAAAAAAAGAUUACGACCUCGAUGUUGAAUUAAUUGAACUAAAUAUUAAGCAAAAUUUAUUAAAGUAAGUCUGUUCGACUUUUAAAAAAUU
This 430-nucleotide ribosomal RNA is filed under the name Spermophora minotaura. RNAcentral describes it as "partial 16S ribosomal RNA". The record is from RNAcentral. Lineage: Eukaryota; Metazoa; Arthropoda; Arachnida; Araneae; Pholcidae.